UACAGAGGGUGCGAGCGUUAAUCGGAAUUACUGGGCGUAAAGCGUGCGUAGACGGCUAUCUAAGUCGGGUGUGAAAGCCCCGGGCUCAACCUGGGAAUUGCAUUCGAGACUGAAUAGCUAGGGUACGGUAGAGGGAAGCGGAAUUUCCGGUGUAGCGGUGAAAUGCGUAGAUAUCGGAAGGAACACCAGUGGCGAAAGCGGUUCUCUGGGCCUUACCUGACACUGAGGAGCGAAAGCGUGGGGAGCGAACAGG
RNAcentral lists this ribosomal RNA (253 nucleotides) under uncultured bacterium. RNAcentral's name for it is "partial 16S ribosomal RNA". It matches the Rfam family "Bacterial small subunit ribosomal RNA", at positions 524 to 776 of the family's 1533-position model. The record is from RNAcentral.